UUUUGAACGAUAUGUUUUUUUAGUUUCUCCAUAAGAAUAUGAUAAAUUACAUUUUCUUGGGAAUAGUGAUUUCUUUAAGCUUUGUUGCCUUGAUGACAUUACCUAUCCAGAGACAAAAUGGGCCAUCCUCACCAAAGUAGUAUAGAAGAGGACUUUUUAACUUCUGCUUUUGUCUGUCAUAAUGAAUAAAGUUGAAAAGGGAUGUAGCUUGAGAAGAAGAAUAGUUUAAAUUUAGAUAAUGGUGGAAUCUGAGUUUGAUUGACUAGGAUGGGAAAUAGUGCAACAUUUAGAAGCUAACAAGCUCUCUAUAGUACCUACUGGAGACACAGAUUGUACAUCAGUACCUUAACGGUACAUAGGAGUAAUAUUGUUUCUAUCUGGUUGAUUUUCGUGGAGCUUUAAAUGGGCCUUAAGAGGGGGAAGCGAAGAGAAA
This 433-nucleotide unclassified non-coding RNA is filed under the name Hevea brasiliensis (rubber tree). Lineage: Eukaryota; Viridiplantae; Streptophyta; Magnoliopsida; Malpighiales; Euphorbiaceae. The record is from RNAcentral.